RNAcentral lists this unclassified non-coding RNA (680 nucleotides) under Caesia parviflora. Its description in RNAcentral is "partial miscellaneous RNA". Lineage: Eukaryota; Viridiplantae; Streptophyta; Magnoliopsida; Asparagales; Asphodelaceae. The record is from RNAcentral.
AAGUAAUGCUCACAACUUCCCUCUAGACCUAGCUGCUGUUGAAGUUCCAUCUACAAAUGGAUAAGACUUCUCUUCUGUCUUAAUGUAUUAAGAAUGAUUAAAGGGGGCAUAUCCCAUACAUAUCUUCCUAAAAAUAUAUAUUAUAUAUUAUAUAUGGGGUAUAGCCCCCCCCUUCUUUGAAUGAUUUUUUCUUUUUUUCAAAAUGAACGACGAGAUUUAUUAUCGUUUCUCGCAUGUCUCGCGAAAGUCAGACUAGGCGCGAAUUCUCCCAAUUUGUGACCUACCAUACGAUCUGUUAUAGUUAUAUAAAUAGGUAAAUGUUCUUUUCCAUUAUGAAUAGCGAUUGUAUGGCCAAUCAUUGUGGGUAUAAUGGUAGAUGCCCGAGACCAAGUUACUAUUAUUUCUUUCUCCUCCUUCAUGUUGAGUUUUUCCAUUUUUCCCGAAAAAUGAUUAGCUACAAAAGGAUUUUUUUUUUUCGUGAAUGUGUCACAGCUGAUUACUCCUUUUUUUUACAUUUUCAAGAUUGGCAUUCUACGUCUAAUAGAAUAUCUCGAUCUAAGUAUGAAGGUAAGAAUAAAUACAAUAAUGAURAAUAUACAAUAAUGAKNAAUGGAAAAAAWAGAAAAUCCUUUACCUAGAUAAGGGGCGGAUGUAGCCAAGUGGAUCAAGGCAGUGGAUUG